CCAGAUCCUGCCCUACAUUGAUGGGUUCCGCCACGUCCAGAAGAUUUCAGCAGAGGCAGAUGUGGAGCUCAACCUGGUGCGCAUUGCUAUCCAGAACCUGCUGUACUAUGGCGUUGUGACACUGGUGUCCAUCCUCCAGGAAGCUGAUCCAGUUCGGGCUUAUGAAGAACCUCAUCAGGCGACUACAGAAGUAUCCUGUGCGGGUGACUCGGGAAGAGCAGAGCCACCCUGCCCGGCUUUAUACAGGCUGCCACAGCUAUGACGAGAUCUGCUGCAAGACAGGCAUGAGCUACCAUGAGCUGGAUGAGCGGCUUGAAAAUGACCCCAACAUCAUCAUCUGCUGGAAGUGAGGCUGGUAGUGGCUGGAUGGACACAUUGCUGUGGGUAGUCCCUCCUACCAGGAGGCUUGUCAUACUGUCUAGAGGUUGACUCUUAGUUCUGUAAAUAAAGACAUCCAUUUCA
Molecule: small RNA, 462 nt
Filed under: Pongo abelii (Sumatran orangutan)
Lineage: Eukaryota; Metazoa; Chordata; Mammalia; Primates; Hominidae
Description: processed transcript
Source: RNAcentral